GGGCCGUUAGCUCAGUUUGGUAGAGCAGCUGACUCUUAAUCAGCGGGCCACAGGUUCAAGUCCUGUACGGCCCA
RNAcentral lists this transfer RNA (74 nucleotides) under Deltaproteobacteria bacterium. Its description in RNAcentral is "tRNA-Lys". It matches the Rfam family "tRNA". From Rfam's summary of the family: Transfer RNA (tRNA) molecules are approximately 80 nucleotides in length. Their secondary structure includes four short double-helical elements and three loops (D, anti-codon, and T loops). Lineage: Bacteria; Pseudomonadati; Myxococcota; Myxococcia. RNAcentral also lists the same sequence under 1 other name. The record is from RNAcentral.